CGUUGAUCGGCGUGCGAUGGAACUCUGCUCGAGCGUGAGCGGCUGAUGUACUUCCCCAACAUCAGCAAAGCCGCUCGAGCAGGGCUCCACGCGCACCGGUCGCUCACCG
This is a regulatory RNA element of Corynebacterium argentoratense DSM 44202, 109 nucleotides long. It matches the Rfam family "mraW RNA". Lineage: Bacteria; Bacillati; Actinomycetota; Actinomycetes; Mycobacteriales; Corynebacteriaceae. The record is from Rfam.